GAUGAACGCUGGCGGCGUGCCUAAUACAUGCAAGUCGAGCGAACGGACGAGAAGCUUGCUUCUCUGAUGUUAGCGGCGGACGGGUGAGUAACACGUGGAUAACCUACCUAUAAGACUGGGAUAACUUCGGGAAACCGGAGCUAAUACCGGAUAAUAUUUUGAACCGCAUGGUUCAAAAGUGAAAGACGGUCUUGCUGUCACUUAUAGAUGGAUCCGCGCUGCAUUAGCUAGUUGGUAAGGUAACGGCUUACCAAGGCAACGAUGCAUAGCCGACCUGAGAGGGGGAUCGGCCACACUGGAACUGAGACACGGUCCAGACUCCUACGGGAGGCAGCAGUAGGGAAUCUUCCGCAAUGGGCGAAAGCCUGACGGAGCAACGCCGCGUGGGUGAUGAAGGUCUUCGGAUCGUAAAACUCUGUUAUUAGGGAAGAACAUAUGUGUAAGUAACUGUGCACAUCUUGACGGUACCUAAUCAGAAAGCCACGGCUAACUACGUG
RNAcentral lists this ribosomal RNA (497 nucleotides) under uncultured bacterium. RNAcentral's name for it is "partial 16S ribosomal RNA". It matches the Rfam family "Bacterial small subunit ribosomal RNA", at positions 28 to 507 of the family's 1533-position model. The record is from RNAcentral.